This is a non-coding RNA of Mycena leptocephala, 90 nucleotides long. The record is from the annotation of a GenBank genome assembly. Lineage: Eukaryota; Fungi; Basidiomycota; Agaricomycetes; Agaricales; Mycenaceae.
GAUCUUGUGGUGUAGCGGUAACAUGUCCUCUACUACUACUGUCAUAGUAUUCUUUAGAGGAAAUCCCUUGUUCGAAUCAAGGUGAGGUCA